Molecule: long non-coding RNA, 244 nt
Filed under: Homo sapiens (human)
Lineage: Eukaryota; Metazoa; Chordata; Mammalia; Primates; Hominidae
Description: non-protein coding LINC02189:16
Source: RNAcentral
UGAAAGCAGCGGGCUAAAUCAACACCACAGGCCCCGUGAUCAAUAUAUGUGAUGAGGACAUUACAUCCUGGUGUUGUUGCCCCAAGUCUUGACGUGAAUCUGACCACAAGGACAAUUCGGACAACCUGAAAUGGUGACGCAUUCUACAAAAUAAACAUCAAUGUCAUGAAAGACAAAGACUCAAGAUUUUCUGCUUAAUGGAGACUAAAGAGAUGCGACAACAGAAUGCCAGGCAUGAUCUUGG